RNAcentral lists this ribosomal RNA (450 nucleotides) under uncultured bacterium. RNAcentral describes it as "bacterial SSU rRNA". It matches the Rfam family "Bacterial small subunit ribosomal RNA", at positions 354 to 796 of the family's 1533-position model. The record is from RNAcentral.
GUGGGGAAUAUUGGACAAUGGGCGAAAGCCUGAUCCAGCCAUGCCGCGUGUGUGAAGAAGGUCUUCGGAUUGUAAAGCACUUUAAGUUGGGAGGAAGGGCAGUAAGUUAAUACCUUGCUGUUUUGACGUUACCGACAGAAUAAGCACCGGCUAACUUCGUGCCAGCAGCCGCGGUAAUACGAAGGGUGCAAGCGUUAAUCGGAAUUACUGGGCGUAAAGCGCGCGUAGGUGGUUUUGUAAGUUGGAGGUGAAAUCCCCGGGCUCAACCUGGGAACUGCCUCGAAAACUGCAUGACUAGAGUACGGUAGAGGGUAGUGGAAUUUCCUGUGUAGCGGUGAAAUGCGUAGAUAUAGGAAGGAACACCAGUGGCGAAGGCGACUACCUGGACUGAUACUGACACUGAGGUGCGAAAGCGUGGGGAGCAAACAGGAUUAGAAACCCUUGUAGUCC